This is a long non-coding RNA of Scophthalmus maximus (turbot), 1200 nucleotides long. RefSeq lists it as uncharacterized. The record is from RefSeq and is a predicted model, not a curated record. NCBI's taxonomy places the organism in Eukaryota, Metazoa, Chordata, Actinopteri, Pleuronectiformes, Scophthalmidae. The transcript has 2 exons.
CUUUGGGAAACUGUUAGCAUGGCAGAGAGCUCUCCUUUCUUGCUAACAACAAACAUAGAAGACAACACAAACCACAACUUGGACACAGGGGGCAAACUCUACAACCUGAGGAGAAAUAUUAUAAUCCACUUCACAUCACAGAACAACUCAGUAUCUGCAGGACAAACCUGUUCAGGGUCCAUGACGUCAGUCAGGCCGUCCGGCGCAUGGCGGAGUUUCACGAGGGGAAAAAAAAAGGAGUAAAUGGCUCUGCAAGCGGCUGUCACUCUGAGGGCCAGCAUGGGACGAUCAGCGAUGAUGACGGGGGCGCGGACCUGUGUCAAGAUGCUGAACUCGGCUGUCAAUCAAACCACUCUGCCCUAUGGGAUGACAAAGAUGGGCCUCAAUGCUGCUCAAGAGAAAGAGGGGGAGAGAGAGCAGGAGAGAUGGAAAGGCAGGAGAAAAGGUCAGAGACAGACACGCAGACAUUGGGAGAGAGAUGUGAUUUAGUGAUUAAGUUGUUUGCGAGCUUGUUACUUAUUGUAUUUAGAAUUGCGAUGAUGUCAUUUGACUUUGUUUACGACAGAAACCCAAACCCACAUGUGAUUGUGUAACCUCGUGAAGUUUGCUCCAUUCUGUAACAGGCAGUGAAAAUUGCAACUAUUCACUUUUCAAAUUGGGCUUCACCAUGGAGCUGUCGGAGCUUGGGAAAAUUGAUGUCCCUCUCCUUAGUAGGCAAUACGACACUGUGUGAAUUUGUCAUUUGAUGGCGAGAAAGGCCCGUAUGAGUCAUCUUCCAGCUAUCUAGGACCAUAACCCCUCAGGCCUCAUGGGAACACAGAGGAAUGACCAGUACAUCAUAACACAGAAGAAAAAAAAAAUCCCACAGUCAGAAUUCACCAGAACUCCUGCAAGCUGUUUUCAAUUAGUGCUUGCUGAUUCUUAGUGUUGGUCUACCGCAUCAUUUCAAGUAAAUGCUGCUAUAACGUAGAGCCACAAUGUUUGGUUUGGCCAUAGGAAAAAUCUGUGCUUUUCCUUUCUCUUGUCAGUGGCAGCCACUGUAGAAGUCCUCAAACAUGAGCUUGUGUUGUAUCUGUCCUCCCGUUGUACUGCAGACAACGAUUUUGUUCUAAGUUUCACAGUGAUGUAAUGUUAUGCAAACGUAAUACAAAACCACCAGAUCAUAAAGAAUAUCAAAACUAAUAAAGAGAGCAAAAUGUG